This 253-nucleotide ribosomal RNA is filed under the name uncultured bacterium. Its description in RNAcentral is "partial 16S ribosomal RNA". It matches the Rfam family "Bacterial small subunit ribosomal RNA", at positions 524 to 776 of the family's 1533-position model. The record is from RNAcentral.
UACGUAUGGGGCAAGCGUUAUCCGGAUUUACUGGGUGUAAAGGGGGCGUAGGCGGCGGGGCAAGCCUGAUGUGAAAGCCCGGGGCUCAACCCCGGGACUGCAUUGGGAACUGCCCUGCUGGAGUGCCGGAGGGGCAGGCGGAAUUCCUAGUGUAGCGGUGAAAUGCGUAGAUAUUAGGAGGAACACCAGUGGCGAAGGCGGCCUGCUGGACGGUGACUGACGCUGAGGCUCAAAAGCGUGGGGAGCAAACAGG